CCUACGGGUGGCAGCAGUGAGGAAUAUUGGUCAAUGGGCGCGAGCCUGAACCAGCCAAGCAGCGUGAAGGAUGACUGCCCUACGGGUUGUAAACUUCUUUUAUAAAGGAAUAAAGUGAAGCACGUGUGCCUUUUUGUAUGUACUUUAUGAAUAAGGAUCGGCUAACUCCGUGCCAGCAGCCGCGGUAAUACGGAGGAUCCGAGCGUUAUCCGGAUUUAUUGGGUUUAAAGGGUGCGUAGAUGGGUUGUUAAGUCAGUUGUGAAAAUUUGCUGCUCAACCUUAAAAUUGCAAUUGAUACUGGCAGUCUAGAGUACAGUUGAGGUAGGCGGAAUGUGUGGUGUAGCGGUGAAAUGCUUAGAGAUCACGAAGAACUCCGAUUGCGAAGGCAGCUUACUAAUCUGCCACUGACAUUGAUGCACGAAAGUGUGGGUAGCAAACAGGAUUAGAUACCCCGGUAGUC
This 460-nucleotide ribosomal RNA is filed under the name uncultured bacterium. RNAcentral's name for it is "partial 16S ribosomal RNA". It matches the Rfam family "Bacterial small subunit ribosomal RNA", at positions 338 to 795 of the family's 1533-position model. The record is from RNAcentral.